This 141-nucleotide small RNA is filed under the name uncultured Blautia sp. Its description in RNAcentral is "Clostridiales-1 RNA". It matches the Rfam family "Clostridiales-1 RNA", at positions 10 to 157 of the family's 166-position model. The record is from RNAcentral. Lineage: Bacteria; Bacillati; Bacillota; Clostridia; Lachnospirales; Lachnospiraceae.
CAGGGUUCAAAGGUCAGGCUUUAUCUGCUUGCAGAAUAGAGCCUGAAGUUGGAACCCGCCUAAAACAUGAGCAUGGAGCUCGGCAGAGCGGAAUGCGAAUGUUUUUCUGAAUUGCGGGAGCCCGAAGGGCGGAGUAAUUCA